RNAcentral lists this transfer RNA (75 nucleotides) under Actinoplanes sp. NBRC 103695. RNAcentral's name for it is "tRNA-Lys". The stretch from base 7 to 66 matches the Rfam family "tRNA", at positions 8 to 63 of the family's 71-position model. From Rfam's summary of the family: Transfer RNA (tRNA) molecules are approximately 80 nucleotides in length. Their secondary structure includes four short double-helical elements and three loops (D, anti-codon, and T loops). Further hydrogen bonds mediate the characteristic L-shaped molecular structure. tRNAs have two regions of fundamental functional importance: the anti-codon, which is responsible for specific mRNA codon recognition, and the 3' end, to which the tRNAs corresponding amino acid is attached (by aminoacyl-tRNA synthetases). tRNAs cope with the degeneracy of the genetic code in two manners: having more than one tRNA (with a specific anti-codon) for a particular amino acid; and 'wobble' base-pairing, i.e. permitting non-standard base-pairing at the 3rd anti-codon position. The record is from RNAcentral. Lineage: Bacteria; Bacillati; Actinomycetota; Actinomycetes; Micromonosporales; Micromonosporaceae.
ACGCGGUAGCGCCUGACAGGUAGCGCAGCGGACUCUUAAUCCGCGGGUUGUAGGUUCAAGUCCUACGCGGCGUAC